ACAUGCAGUCGAGCGGACAGAUGGGAGCUUGCUCCCUGAUGUUAGCGGCGGACGGGUGAGUAACACGUGGGUAACCUGCCUGUAAGACUGGGAUAACUCCGGGAAACCGGGGCUAAUACCGGAUGGUUGUCUGAACCGCAUGGUUCAGACAUAAAAGGUGGCUUCGGCUACCACUUACAGAUGGACCCGCGGCGCAUUAGCUAGUUGGUGAGGUAACGGCUCACCAAGGCGACGAUGCGUAGCCGACCUGAGAGGGUGAUCGGCCACACUGGGACUGAGACACGGCCCAGACUCCUACGGGAGGCAGCAGUAGGGAAUCUUCCGCAAUGGACGAAAGUCUGACGGAGCAACGCCGCGUGAGUGAUGAAGGUUUUCGGAUCGUAAAGCUCUGUUGUUAGGGAAGAACAAGUGCCGUUCAAAUAGGGCGGCACCUUGACGGUACCUAACCAGAAAGCCACGGCUAACUACGUGCCAGCAGCCGCGGUAAUACGUAGGUGGCAAGCGUUGUCCGGAAUUAUUGGGCGUAAAGGGCUCGCAGGCGGUUUCUUAAGUCUGAUGUGAAAGCCCCCGGCUCAACCGGGGAGGGUCAUUGGAAACUGGGGAACUUGAGUGCAGAAGAGGAGAGUGGAAUUCCACGUGUAGCGGUGAAAUGCGUAGAGAUGUGGAGGAACACCAGUGGCGAAGGCGACUCUCUGGUCUGUAACUGACGCUGAGGAGCGAAAGCGUGGGGAGCGAACAGGAUUAGAUACCCUGGUAGUCCACGCCGUAAACGAUGAGUGCUAAGUGUUAGGGGGUUUCCGCCCCUUAGUGCUGCAGCUAACGCAUUAAGCACUCCGCCUGGGGAGUACGGUCGCAAGACUGAAACUCAAAGGAAUUGACGGGGGCCCGCACAAGCGGUGGAGCAUGUGGUUUAAUUCGAAGCAACGCGAAGAACCUUACCAGGUCUUGACAUCCUCUGACAAUCCUAGAGAUAGGACGUCCCCUUUCGGGGGCAGAGUGACAGGUGGUGCAUGGUUGUCGUCAGCUCGUGCCCUGAGAAGUUGGGGUUAUCCGCAACCAACCGCAACCUUUGAUCUUAGUUGCCACAUUCCGU
Molecule: ribosomal RNA, 1093 nt
Filed under: Bacillus subtilis
Lineage: Bacteria; Bacillati; Bacillota; Bacilli; Caryophanales; Bacillaceae
Description: bacterial SSU rRNA
Rfam family: Bacterial small subunit ribosomal RNA
Source: RNAcentral